RNAcentral lists this transfer-messenger RNA (356 nucleotides) under Desulfobacterales bacterium. It matches the Rfam family "transfer-messenger RNA". From Rfam's summary of the family: Bacterial tmRNA, also known as 10Sa RNA or SsrA, is named for its dual tRNA and mRNA-like properties. RNAcentral also lists the same sequence under 1 other name. The record is from RNAcentral. Lineage: Bacteria; Pseudomonadati; Thermodesulfobacteriota; Desulfobacteria; Desulfobacterales.
GGGGGCGAAACGGCUUCGACGGGGACAUGGAAACAAUGGUUGCAUACCGAGGUCUGCUGGCUCGUAAAACCGGCAGCGUUUAAACACAAACGCAGACGACUACAACUACGCACUAGCUGCAUAGAGGCAGCUAGCGUCCAUCCGGGUCUUCUCCUGCAGACCCGGAACCGGGCGUCGAUUAGCAGGAUAGCCGUUUCUGAACGCCUGUUUCAGGAUCGGUGAAAUUCAACAGGCUAGCGGUUCGAGUAUCCAGCUUGGAGGAGACUUGAACGGCGAAAUUCAAAAUCCAGGCUAAGUAUGUAGACGCCAUUGUGGAAUGUUGCCGGACGCGGGUUCGACUCCCGCCGCCUCCACCA